This is a long non-coding RNA of Haliotis rubra (blacklip abalone), 520 nucleotides long. RefSeq lists it as uncharacterized. The record is from RefSeq and is a predicted model, not a curated record. NCBI's taxonomy places the organism in Eukaryota, Metazoa, Mollusca, Gastropoda, Lepetellida, Haliotidae. The transcript has 3 exons.
CAGGCAGUUUGGCAAAAAUGUGAGCUGGGCCUACAGGUAGCUUACAUGGAGGAAGAUGACAUUCAUAAGUUCGUAAGAAAGUUGAUGUCGCUCCCAUUUCUUCCCGCGGCUGAUGUCUCAAGGCUAUUCCAGAAGAUAUCUGAUCGGGUUCGCACUCAUGACAAGCUGCGAUAACUGACUGACUACUUUGAGAGCUGGCACAGGCGAAUGAAUAACAAGGUGGGAGAGCAGUCAUUGGGACUCUGCAUGCAUACCAGAGCUCCACCGUGAGGCCAGCCCCCUACCCCUCCAGACCAGGCUCAUUCAAGAAGGAAGACUGAAGGCGUACAUCCACAAGUCAUCAUCAGCCAGGCAGGAGGAGGUAUUCGAACUGUGGAAUUUGUUCAAGGAUGGUGACAUGUCUCUGUCACAACUUCUCUCAAGAUGUGCAGCUAUCCGGCCAUGGACCAAUCUUUCAGUGAAUUCAUGCAAUGCAUGAAAAGAGUCCUUACAUUCUUACAGGGAUUUAUAAUGUGUUAUG